This 253-nucleotide ribosomal RNA is filed under the name uncultured bacterium. RNAcentral describes it as "partial 16S ribosomal RNA". It matches the Rfam family "Bacterial small subunit ribosomal RNA", at positions 524 to 776 of the family's 1533-position model. The record is from RNAcentral.
UACAGAGGUCCCAAGCGUUGUUCGGAUUCAUUGGGCGUAAAGGGUGCGUAGGCGGCGCGGUAAGUCGGGUGUGAAAUCUCGGAGCUUAACUCCGAAACUGCAUUCGAUACUGCCGUGCUUGAGGACUGGAGAGGAGUCUGGAAUUUACGGUGUAGCGGUGAAAUGCGUAGAUAUCGUAAGGAAGACCAGUGGCGAAGGCGGGUCUCUGGACAGUUCCUGACGCUGAGGCACGAAGGUCAGGGGAGCAAACGGG